Small nucleolar RNA from Mugil cephalus (flathead mullet), 129 nucleotides. RefSeq annotates it as small nucleolar RNA SNORA71. The record is from RefSeq and is a predicted model, not a curated record. The transcript has a single exon. NCBI's taxonomy places the organism in Eukaryota, Metazoa, Chordata, Actinopteri, Mugiliformes, Mugilidae.
CCCUGUGUCGAAAGUGUGGCCGCGGCUUCCUCGUAGCCGGGUCAUUUAAACUGCAGGGACAUGAACCUGGGAGCCUUUCCCGUGUUUGAAGGACUCGCUGUUCCUCUCAGACCCUGGUCCUCUCAGACA